GGAGGCCAACUAGUAAAAACACCGAGAACUCUCGAGAACAGCCGACUAUGAAGAUCCCAGGAUGAGACCGUUUCCCCGCCCCCGAGUGCAGACGUUGCAACCAACUUUCAGCGUUGACGCGAUCUCCAAUAGGAACGGCCCUUCACUCUCAGAAACGCUGGCCAGAGAAACCGUGGAGGACUUUUCACCUUGCCGUUUGCCUCCCAGGUUCAACAUGAUAGGAUUUGGAUUAUUAGGGCCUGGGAACAGCGUAAAGGAACGCGCGGGUCACCACCUUAAGCGCGUAUGCGGGGCCUCGCUUUAGGAAAUAAAUGAAUUCUACCAAAAGUCCUAUAGUUUUAAAGCUGGAAUUGAACUGUCUUCCCAAACCCUCCACGCCUACUGCGCCUCUCCCUUCAGUAAAUGCACAUAUACAUGUGAGAAGUAGAAGAACAAUGCAAUUAAGUCUCCAGCCAAAUCUGGGGAGAAAACAGACAGAGUCUCACUCUGUCACCCAGGCUGGAGUGUCGUGUCGUGUCAUACAAUCUCAGCUAACUGCAACCUCUGCCUCCUGAGUUCAAGCAGCAAUUCUCCUGCCUCAGCCUCCUGAGUAGCUGGGAUUACAGGCGUGCGCCACCUUGCCCAGCUAAUUUUUGUAUUUUUAGUAGAGACAAUGUUUCACCGUGUUGGUCAGGCUGGUCUCAAACUCCUGACCUUGUGAUCGGCCUGCCUUGGCCUCCCAAAGUGCUGGGAUUACAGGCGUGAGCCACCACACCCAGCCUAUUCUAUUUUGUGUGUGUUUAAAUAUGUUCACGAAGAAAAAUAAUUUAAAUGCUGGUUAUAUUUUGAUUUCACUUCUCACUAAUACAGCAUGACUUGGAGUUUGAAAAACAUCGCAUUCAAAUAGCCAAUACAAAUGCAAAGUAGACAAAAGCACCAGCUAAACAAAUGUACCAGACUGUACCCUGAGAACUGGAGACCUGUUCAUGGGAACAUGAUUAAUUGACUUCUCCAACAAAUAGUAGCUCAAACAUCAAAACUUGCAGUUGUUGCUAAACCAUUUUACAUAAAAUAUUAAAUCUCCAAGGUUGUAGCUCUUACAAUCUAAGAAAAAGAUUUGCAUUUAAGACCAAAGUUUAAAAAGAAAGAAACAUUUAACUUUGAAAUUCUGAGCCCAAAGUAUAGUACUCAGCACCCUAAAUCGGAAGCUUACAAGGCAGGUGGCAUUACCCUUGUUUCUCUUAGAUCAAUUUCUUUCUUGCCUCCUAAUAAUUUUUUAUGACUCACAAAGAAUCAGAAAAUAAAACUGAUUCUUCAUAACUGUUUGUCAGCCUUUUUGGAAUCUAUUCCGAUUUUGACACAAGUACAUUCAGAAUAGUGUGAGCAAAGAACCAAGCGAUUGCCUUAAGUUUAAAAGCCUGUUUUGCUCAAAAGACUUAACGUAUUUUAAGCAGCAGAUUUAAUGUUUAGCUGUGAUUAUGUUUUCUCUUAAGGCAACUUGUCUGAUGAAUCGAGGGCUUCUCCCAUCUGUGACUACAUUUUUCAUAUCCAAAUGUAUUCAUGUAUGUAAUUCCCAAUUAUUCAAAAAUUAUCCUGCUCAGACCUUUGCACACAGCUUCAAGAUUCUCACUACAAGUGGAGGUCCAAUUUGCCAUUGUUACACCCCUCAGCAACACUUCUGUCAAACAGUGAUUCUUUCAGAAGCUUACAAACCAGCAAGACAGAUGCAGGGUCAUUUACUGUAAGAAAGUAACUAACGCUGGCAACAAGGAGUUGUUGCUGAUAUUUUCCCAGUGUUACCAUGUGUGAAGGCUGAAAAGUUUAUGUGUUUCCCACAGGGCAGAUAGUGUCUGGAUAAAUCAAUAUAGAAUAGUACUCAAACAUAAUUGGCAUUUCAAUGUACUAUACAACUGAGUCCCUUUAAGACAUAAAAUGGAUAUAAUUCUUACAUUACUGAAAAUAAACUUUAGGACAUGUUUGU
Macaca mulatta (Rhesus monkey) is the source of this 1960-nucleotide long non-coding RNA. The record is from Ensembl. NCBI's taxonomy places the organism in Eukaryota, Metazoa, Chordata, Mammalia, Primates, Cercopithecidae.